RNAcentral lists this ribosomal RNA (460 nucleotides) under uncultured bacterium. RNAcentral's name for it is "partial 16S ribosomal RNA". It matches the Rfam family "Bacterial small subunit ribosomal RNA", at positions 338 to 795 of the family's 1533-position model. The record is from RNAcentral.
CCUACGGGGGGCAGCAGUGAGGAAUAUUGGUCAAUGGCCGGAAGGCUGAACCAGCCAUGCCGCGUGAAGGUCAGUGCCCUAUGGGCGUUAAACUUCUUUUGUGCGGGAGCAAUAAUGGUCACGUGUGGCCAGACGAGAGUACCGUACGAAUAAGCAUCGGCUAACUCCGUGCCAGCAGCCGCGGUAAUACGGGGGAUGCAAGCGUUAUCGGGAUUUAUUGGGUUUAAAGGGUGCGUAGGCUGUGAGGUAAGUCAGCGGUGAAAUGCCCCCGCUCAACGGGGUGAAGGGCCAUUGAUACUGCCUUGCUGGAAUGCGGAUGCCGUGGGAGGAAUGUGUGGUGUAGCGGUGAAAUGCAUAGAUAUCACACAGAACACCGAUUGCGAAGGCAUCUCACGAAUCCGCGAUUGACGCUGAGGCACGAAGGCCAGGGGAGCGAAAGGGAUUAGAUACCCGGGUAGUC